AUGCACGCUGGCGGCGUGCCUCAUCCCUGCCAGUCGCGCGAACAGACGAGGAGCUUGCUCCUCUGACGUUAGCGGCGGACGGGUGAGUAACACGUGGAUAACCUACCUAUAAGACUGGGAUAACUUCGGGAAACCGGAGCUAAUACCGGAUAAUAUAUUGAACCGCAUGGUUCAAUAGUGAAAGACGGUUUUGCUGUCACUUAUAGAUGGAUCCGCGCCGCAUUAGCUAGUUGGUAAGGUAACGGCUUACCAAGGCAACGAUGCGUAGCCGACCUGAGAGGGUGAUCGGCCACACUGGAACUGAGACACGGUCCAGACUCCUACGGGAGGCAGCAGUAGGGAAUCUUCCGCAAUGGGCGAAAGCCUGACGGAGCAACGCCGCGUGAGUGAUGGAGGUCUUCGGAUCGUAAAACUCUGUUAUUAGGGAAGAACAAAUGUGUAAGUAACUAUGCACGUCUUGACGGUACCUAAUCAGAAAGCCACGGCUAACUACGUG
Molecule: ribosomal RNA, 496 nt
Filed under: uncultured bacterium
Lineage: Bacteria
Description: partial 16S ribosomal RNA
Rfam family: Bacterial small subunit ribosomal RNA
Source: RNAcentral